This 727-nucleotide ribosomal RNA is filed under the name uncultured Planctomycetota bacterium. Its description in RNAcentral is "bacterial SSU rRNA". It matches the Rfam family "Bacterial small subunit ribosomal RNA", at positions 562 to 1278 of the family's 1533-position model. The record is from RNAcentral. Lineage: Bacteria; Pseudomonadati; Planctomycetota.
GCUGAGCACGUAGGUGGGUUUGUAAGUCAGAUGUAAAAGCCUUCUGUUCAACGGAAGAAUUGCAUCUGAAACUGCGAGUCUUGAGUGUAGGAGGGGAGAAUGGAACUUCUGGUGGAGCGGCGAAAUGCGUAGAUAUCAGAAGGAACGCCGGCGGCGAAAGCGAUUCUCUGGCCUAUUACUGACACUCAGUGUGCGAAAGCUAGGGGAGCAAACGGGAUUAGAUACCCCGGUAGUCCUAGCCGUAAACGAUGGGCACUAAGUAGAGGGAAUUACCGAUGUUCUCUCUGCCGUAGCUAACGCAUUAAGUGCCCCGCCUGGGGAGUACGGCCGCAAGGCUAAAACUCAAAAGAAUUGACGGGGGCUCGCACAAGCGGUGGAGCAUGUGGCUUAAUUCGAUGCAACGCGAAAAACCUUACCGGGGCUUGACAUGGUAGAAGUAGGAACCCGAAAGGGUAACGAACGGUAUCCAGUCCGUAGCUAUCACAGGUGUUGCAUGGCUGUCGUCAGCUCGUGUCGUGAGACGUUGGGUUAAGUCCCCUAACGAGCGAAACCCUUGUUUUUAGUUACCAGCGGGUUGUGCCGGGUACUCUAGAAAGACUGCCGUCGUCAAGACGGAGGAAGGUGGGGAUGACGUCAAGUCAUCAUGGCCCUUAUGCCCCGGGCUGCACACGUGCUACAAUGGUCGGUACAAACGGAUGUGAAGCCGAGAGGUGAAGCGAAUCCAAGC